UACGGGGGGGGCAAGCGUUGUUCGGAAUUACUGGGCGUAAAGGGCUCGUAGGUGGCCAACUAAGUCAGACGUGAAAUCCCUCGGCUUAACCGGGGAACUGCGUCUGAUACUGGAUGGCUUGAGGUUGGGAGAGGGAUGCGGAAUUCCAGGUGUAGCGGUGAAAUGCGUAGAUAUCUGGAGGAACACCGAUGGCGAAGGCAGGUCUCUGGGCCACUACUGACGCUGAGAAGCGAAAGCAUGGGGAGCGAACAGG
This 253-nucleotide ribosomal RNA is filed under the name uncultured bacterium. Its description in RNAcentral is "partial 16S ribosomal RNA". It matches the Rfam family "Bacterial small subunit ribosomal RNA", at positions 524 to 776 of the family's 1533-position model. The record is from RNAcentral.